This 493-nucleotide unclassified non-coding RNA is filed under the name Hevea brasiliensis (rubber tree). The record is from RNAcentral. Lineage: Eukaryota; Viridiplantae; Streptophyta; Magnoliopsida; Malpighiales; Euphorbiaceae.
UAAAGGCUUAGUUGAGUUGAGUUGGGUAGUGAGGCAUGGCAGAGAAGAGGAAUGAAAGAAAUAAGUUAAAACACAAAUUCAUAAGGCUGGAGCUAAAAUACUAAAAAGAAAUAUAAGCCCAAUAAAAACUUUUUGCAAGAAUAGCAGUGCAACCACCAAAGGACACUAUGCAAAUUCAUCUAACGCUCUAUCAUGUCACACUUAUACAUGCUGAGUUUUGAGGAAAAUAAGCUUCUAAAUUUUGAGGAAAAUAAGGUUCUAAAUUAGAGUAUUUCAUUAUCGAUUUUGAAAUGACAACAAGGUCACACAUAAGGUAAGUCUCAAUAUAUAACAGCACAUUGGUGGCAAUACAAAUAGCAUAUAUCACUUAUUAAUCCAUAGAGAAUGAGCAGAAUACAAUAAACAAAGGUGACAGUGAAAUCACAGGAAAGAAACAAAAAAUAUUACAGUUGGUGUAGAAGUUGAAACAUAAACUUGUAAUUUAUAGUAUUUG